UACGAAGGAGGCUAGCGUUGCUCGGAAUCACUGGGCGUAAAGCGCACGUAGGCGGCUUUCUAAGUCAGGGGUGAAAUCCUGGAGCUCAACUCCAGAACUGCCCUUGAUACUGGGAAGCUCGAGUUCGGGAGAGGUGAGUGGAACUGCGAGUGUAGAGGUGAAAUUCGUAGAUAUUCGCAAGAACACCAGUGGCGAAGGCGGCUCACUGGCCCGAUACUGACGCUGAGGUGCGAAAGCGUGGGGAGCAAACAGG
RNAcentral lists this ribosomal RNA (253 nucleotides) under uncultured bacterium. Its description in RNAcentral is "partial 16S ribosomal RNA". It matches the Rfam family "Bacterial small subunit ribosomal RNA", at positions 524 to 776 of the family's 1533-position model. The record is from RNAcentral.